This is a long non-coding RNA of Humulus lupulus (European hop), 1035 nucleotides long. RefSeq lists it as uncharacterized. The transcript is spliced from 3 exons. NCBI's taxonomy places the organism in Eukaryota, Viridiplantae, Streptophyta, Magnoliopsida, Rosales, Cannabaceae. The record is from RefSeq and is a predicted model, not a curated record.
GAUUUUCCAAAUAAUUGGUCUAUCUCUCUCUCUUUCUCUCACAAGUCCGAACUCUCUUUCUCUGUUUCUUCUCUUUCAGACACCGGCCGGUUCUCCGACGGCCGUGUCCUCACUGACUAUAUAGCUUCGUUUCUGGGCAUAAAAUCUCCGGUGGCGUACAGAGAGACAAAGUGGGUAAAGAAAUGGAAAGUAAAUAAGUAUGGAAUGAACUUUGCAUUUGGAGGGACAGGAGUGUUUGAUACAAUGGAAAAGGAACCAAACAUGUCAACCCAAAUCAAUUUCUUCGAAGAUAUAUUACUUGAACGUAAUUUUUAUUCCAAACAAGACCUUAGCUCUUCCGUGGCUUUAGUUUCUCUUGCUGGCAAUGACUAUGGUGCUUACCUUGCUAAAGGUGGCAAUAACAACAUGGAGGGUACCCCGAGCCAGCCAGACACGGAUGUCUCCAAGGGAGGCUACCACCCGAGGUCCGUCCUAGAGAUGUGGAUGUCUCCAAGUGAGAUCCUCGUGCCUUCUUCAGUCAGCUGUCCUCUAUGUUUAGGUUUUUUUCCUCGAGACCUAGAUGAGUUGUGAGGUGUUAGUCACUGCGUGUAUGAGCCACCAGAAGAUUUUCUGACAACCUUUUGGAAAAUCCUCGAGUAGUGGUGUUGAGUCGUACACUCGAAAAUCGGUAUUUCCCAAUACAUCGUCUAACAUGGGGAAAACGUGUAGCGGCACCCUAACACCGUCAGGGGCAUGUUUCCCACAAAGUUGGUAGACAACUUUCUGCAAUGGGCUCCGUGCAAUCCGCUUGGGUUGUAGUCUCUAUUUAGUGUACCCCCUUUUGUAUUAAUUCAAAUUAAUAACCCAACAAUGGGAGAAUUUGUAUUAAAUAUAUAUGAUUAACAUUAAUGACCCCAGCAUCUAUAAAUAGGGCAGGGGUAUUUCCUUGUAAGGGUUCAGAUUUUUAGAUAGAGAAACUUUAUAAGUCAGUGCAAUAUGUACACUGCCUGAGAACUACCAUUGAAGCUUGCUCAAACAAGUUUCAAGCUCACUAAA